AACGAACGCUGGCGGCAUGCCUAACACAUGCAAGUCGAACGAGACCUUCGGGUCUUGUGGCGCACGGGUGCGUAACGCGUGGGAACCUGCCCUUAGGUUCGGAAUAACUCCCCGAAAGGGGUGCUAAUACCGGAUAAUGUCUUCGGGCCAAAGAUUUAUCGCCUUUGGAUGGGCCCGCGUUGGAUUAGCUAGUUGGUAGGGUAAAAGCCUACCAAGGCGACGAUCCAUAGCUGGUCUGAGAGGAUGAUCAGCCACACUGGGACUGAGACACGGCCCAGACUCCUACGGGAGGCAGCAGUGGGGAAUAUUGGACAAUGGGCGAAAGCCUGAUCCAGCAAUGCCGCGUGAGUGAUGAAGGCCUUAGGGUUGUAAAGCUCUUUUAACCGGGAUGAUAAUGACAGUACCGGGAGAAUAAGCUCCGGCUAACUCCGUG
Molecule: ribosomal RNA, 433 nt
Filed under: uncultured bacterium
Lineage: Bacteria
Description: partial 16S ribosomal RNA
Rfam family: Bacterial small subunit ribosomal RNA
Source: RNAcentral